UACGUAGGUGGCGAGCGUUGUCCGGAUUUACUGGGCGUAAAGAGCGCGCAGGCGGUCGUUCAAGUCGCGUGUGAAAGCCCCCGGCUCAACUGGGGAGGGUCACUCGAUACUGAUCGACUUGAAGGCAGGAGAGGGAAGCGGAAUUCCCGGUGUAGUGGUGAAAUGCGUAGAUAUCGGGAGGAACACCAGUGGCGAAGGCGGCUUCCUGGCCUGUUCUUGACGCUGAGGCGCGAAAGCUAGGGGAGCAAACGGG
This 253-nucleotide ribosomal RNA is filed under the name uncultured bacterium. Its description in RNAcentral is "partial 16S ribosomal RNA". It matches the Rfam family "Bacterial small subunit ribosomal RNA", at positions 524 to 776 of the family's 1533-position model. The record is from RNAcentral.